This 225-nucleotide unclassified non-coding RNA is filed under the name rhizosphere metagenome. RNAcentral's name for it is "partial ribosomal RNA internal transcribed spacer region". The record is from RNAcentral.
GUAGGUGAACCUGCGGAGGGAUCAUUACCGAGUUCAUGCCCUUACGGGUAGAUCUCCCACCCUAUGUUAUAUUUACCUUCGUUGCUUUGGCAGGCCGUCAGGCUUCGGCCAGGCUACCGGCUCCGGCUGGUAAGCGCCUGCCAGAGGACCCUAAACUCUGAAUAUUAGUGUUGUCUGAGUACUAUAAAAUAGUUAAAACUUUCAACAACGGAUCUCUUGGUUCUG